This 485-nucleotide ribosomal RNA is filed under the name uncultured bacterium. RNAcentral's name for it is "bacterial SSU rRNA". It matches the Rfam family "Bacterial small subunit ribosomal RNA", at positions 8 to 478 of the family's 1533-position model. The record is from RNAcentral.
AGAGUUUGAUCCUGGCUCAGAACGAACGCUGGCGGCGCGUCUUAAGCAUGCAAGUCGAACGGCAAGAGGGAAGCUUGCUUCUCUCCUAGAGUGGCGAACUGGUGAGUAACGCGUGGGUGACGAACCCUUAGGGAUGGGGAUAGCCGGUAGAAAUACCGGAUAAUACCGAAUAGGUUCGUUGGGGUAAAGACCAACGAGCAAAGGAGCUUCGGCUUCGCCUUAGGAUCGGCCCGCGUACUAUUAGCUAGUUGGUGAGGUAACGGCUCACCAAGGCGACGAUAGUUAUCCGGCCUAAGAGGGUGAACGGACACAUUGGGACUGAGAUACGGCCCAGACUCCUACGGGAGGCAGCAGCUAAGAAUAUUCCGCAAUGGAGGGAACUCUGACGGAGCGACGCCGCGUGAACGAUGAAGGCCGGAAGGUUGUAAAGUUCUUUUGAAUGCGAAGAAUAAAGUCCAGAGGAAAUGCAGGACAGAUGACGGUAA